Molecule: unclassified non-coding RNA, 248 nt
Filed under: Hevea brasiliensis (rubber tree)
Lineage: Eukaryota; Viridiplantae; Streptophyta; Magnoliopsida; Malpighiales; Euphorbiaceae
Source: RNAcentral
CGGCUGUUCUGACUGUUUGCCUGGAAAUGUUACAUUAUACCAGUCAUUCACAAGUAUGCAGUGAGAACAGAUCCACUCUUGAAAAUCAAAUCAUCUAUAAGAUUGAAGCAUCCAAGUGCGAAAUUUUCAUUAUAUAAAUGGAAUGCAUAGAGGAACCUUCUUGCAUUGGGAUAUUUAUCCUGUUGGGUCUGCCAAAAUCAAAGGUCCAAAGGAAAAAAAUGUUGGUUUCAGGAAUUAACAUACCUGAG